AUACUUACCUUACAGGGUAGAUGCCAUGAUCACAGAGGUGGUUUUCCCAGGGUGAGGCGUAUCCAUUGCACUCCAGAUGAGCUGACCUAUGCGAUUUCCCCGAAUGUGAGAAACUCAACUGUAUAAUUUGUGGUAGUGGGGGACUGCGUUCACACUCUCCCCUG
Molecule: small nuclear RNA, 164 nt
Organism: Fukomys damarensis (Damara mole-rat)
Lineage: Eukaryota; Metazoa; Chordata; Mammalia; Rodentia; Bathyergidae
Gene: U1
Rfam family: U1 spliceosomal RNA
About the family: U1 is a small nuclear RNA (snRNA) component of the spliceosome (involved in pre-mRNA splicing). Its 5' end forms complementary base pairs with the 5' splice junction, thus defining the 5' donor site of an intron.
Source: Ensembl